CGCGAACGCACCUUCGGGUGUUAUUAGAGUGGCGGACGGGUGAGUAACACGUGGGAACAUGCCUUUCGGUACGGAACAACGCUUGGAAACGAGUGCUAAUACCGUAUACGCCCUUCGGGGGAAAGAUUUAUCGCCGAAAGAUUGGCCCGCGCUAGAUUAGCUAGUUGGUAAGGUAAUGGCUUACCAAGGCGACGAUCUAUAGCUGGUUUGAGAGGAUGAUCAGCCACACUGGGACUGAGACACGGCCCAGACUCCUACGGGAGGCAGCAGUGGGGAAUAUUGGACAAUGGGGGCAACCCUGAUCCAGCGAUGCCGCGUGAGUGAUGAAGGCCUUAGGGUUGUAAAACUCUUUCAGAUGGGAUGAUAAUGACAGUAUCUGGUAAAGAAACCCCGGCUAACUCCGUGCCAGCAGCCGCGGUAAUACGGAGGGGGUUAGCGUUGUUCGGAAUUACUGGGCGUAAAGCGUACGUAGGCGGAUCAGAAAGUAGGGGGUGAAAUCCCGAGGCUCAACCUCGGAACUGCCUCCUAAACUCCUGGUCUUGAGUUCGAGAGAGGUGAGUGGAAUUCCAAGUGUAGAGGUGAAAUUCGUAGAUAUUUGGAGGAACACCAGUGGCGA
RNAcentral lists this ribosomal RNA (616 nucleotides) under uncultured bacterium. Its description in RNAcentral is "bacterial SSU rRNA". It matches the Rfam family "Bacterial small subunit ribosomal RNA", at positions 67 to 718 of the family's 1533-position model. The record is from RNAcentral.